GACGAACGCUGGCGGCGUGCUUAACACAUGCAAGUCGAACGGAAAGGCCCUGCUUUUGUGGGGUGCUCGAGUGGCGAACGGGUGAGUAACACGUGAGUAACCUGCCCUUGACUUUGGGAUAACUUCAGGAAACUGGGGCUAAUACCGGAUAGGAGCUCCUGCUGCAUGGUGGGGGUUGGAAAGUUUCGGCGGUUGGGGAUGUACUCGCGGCUUAUCAGCUUGUUGGUGGGGUAGUGGCUUACCAAGGCUUUGACGGGUAGCCGGCCUGAGAGGGUGACCGGCCACAUUGGGACUGAGAUACGGCACAGACUCCUACGGGAGGCAGCAGUGGGGAAGAUUGCACAAUGGGCGGAAGCCUGAUGCAGCAACGCCGCGUGCGGGAUGACGGCCUUCGGGUUGGAAACCGCUUUCGCCUGUGACGAAGCGUGAGUGACGGUAAUGGGUAAAGAAGCACCGGCUAACUACGUG
This 468-nucleotide ribosomal RNA is filed under the name uncultured bacterium. RNAcentral describes it as "partial 16S ribosomal RNA". It matches the Rfam family "Bacterial small subunit ribosomal RNA", at positions 28 to 507 of the family's 1533-position model. The record is from RNAcentral.